CCUACGGGUGGCAGCAGUGAGGAAUAUUGGUCAAUGGACGAGAGUCUGAACCAGCCAAGUAGCGUGAAGGAUGACUGCCCUAUGGGUUGUAAACUUCUUUUAUGUGGGAGUGAAAUGUUCCACGUGUGGGAUUUUGUAUGUACCAUAUGAAUAAGGAUCGGCUAACGCCGUGCCAGCAGCCGCGGUAAUACGGAGGAUCCGAGCGUUAUCCGGAUUUAUUGGGUUUAAAGGGAGCGUAGGUGGAUUGUUAAGUCAGUUGUGAAAGUUUGCGGCUCAACCGUAAAAUUGCAGUUGAAACUGGCAGUCUUGAGUACAGUAGAGGUGGGCGGAAUUCGUGGUGUAGCGGUGAAAUGCUUAGAUAUAACGAAGAACUCCGAUUGCGAAGGCAGUUCACUGGACUGCAACUGACACUGAGGCUCGAAAGUGUGGGUAUCAAACAGGAUUAGAUACCCCAGUAGUC
Molecule: ribosomal RNA, 460 nt
Filed under: uncultured bacterium
Lineage: Bacteria
Description: partial 16S ribosomal RNA
Rfam family: Bacterial small subunit ribosomal RNA
Source: RNAcentral